GAGGGUACAGCUCAAGUGGUAGAGUGCAUGCGUAGCAUGCGUGAGGUCCUGGGUUCAAUCCCCAGUACCUCCU
Camelus ferus (Wild Bactrian camel) is the source of this 73-nucleotide transfer RNA. It matches the Rfam family "tRNA". From Rfam's summary of the family: Transfer RNA (tRNA) molecules are approximately 80 nucleotides in length. Their secondary structure includes four short double-helical elements and three loops (D, anti-codon, and T loops). NCBI's taxonomy places the organism in Eukaryota, Metazoa, Chordata, Mammalia, Artiodactyla, Camelidae. The record is from Rfam.